AGACAGAGGAAGAGAAUUUACCAGAGACACAUGGAAGAACUGGCAGGCUGAACAGGCCCCAUGUGUCGGCACCAAUCUGCCUGUAUCUGCUCCACUGUUGGGAGACUAUCUGUGGCAGUGCCAGGCUGUUCGAGUGUAGGCAUAGAGAAGGAAUACAGAUGCAUUCAUCCAGGUUUGGACAUUUGUCAGACAAAGAUAAAAAAAAUUUAAGACAACAGGACUAGGGAGUUGAGAAUAUUGGUGAGAGUGUUAUGCAAAUAAUGGACUGUGGAAUCUAAACUAAAUAAUAAUAACGAAAAGAUCAACAGAGAUAAAAAGAUGAGAGGUGAUGGACUUGGGGAAAAUAAAGAGGCCAGCAUAUGAAAGCAAUACUUUUCAAGAUUUGGGGAUCAUGUCAAUAUGCAGAAUAUGAUUCAGGUCUGCAGGUGAGCAUGAGAUUCUGCAUUUUUAACAGUUUCCAAGGUAAUGCUGAUAGGCAUUAGAACUUCAAUAUGAUCAAAAGUAGUUUUUAAUUUGAGAGAGAGAGAAUCAAAACUGCUAUUACAUUACUAGAGUGGUAGCAACUGAACUCAGAACAAACGAUGAAUGGGGUUCCAUGAAGGACACUUUCCACAGCUACGAGGAAGCCUCCCUCUGAGGCUGCUGCUCCAGUCACUUCUUUACGAACUGUAUCCACAAACAAAGUUACCUGAGUGACCCUCUGUCUUGCUUCCCUAAACAAAUCUAACUAAAGAAAAGAUGGCAAAUUAACAAAGCUACCACCCCUAAAACCAAACUCUGACGAUGUCACAGAAAUGACAUAGAAAUUAAGGAAUCCCAGAACUUUGCACCAAAAGGAAAGAAGCAGGAGGAGAGUUGGUCGGUCAACACGGUUUUGACUGAGCUGUGAGUUUUACAGCCUAGGGAAGCUUCGCUGACUGGAAGCAAACCUCAGUGACUAAGUAAGUGUCCCAACUUACUGCCACAGUGGGGAUGAGGUAGUUGCCUUGCUGGGUCUGGGGCAUAAGAGGAGAGAAGGUCCCACUUCACUUGCUAGGCUAUGGCACUAGGGCCACUCUUUCUUCCCCAUACUGAGACCUCAGCACAGCAACAGCCACUAUGCUCCUCACCCAAGCAUUUCUCCAGGCCACUGAGGACUGCCCCCUAACCCUGUCAGGGCUAGUGCUUAUGCCCAAUAUUGGGGAGCCCAAGUUCAGGCCCUGUUCCAGUUCCAUCUAGCUUUGCCCAAUCUCCCAAGACAGAGCACAGGACCCAGAUCAUUGAGCAUCCCACAGCCCAACCCAUCACCUGAGACACCUGAGAACUACACAUGUUAAUAGAGGUCAAGAAUAAACCCUAUUGCCACCACUGUAGCAGGCUCUUACCUGAAAGCAUCAUCUACUGGCCAGGAGGUUGACCCACAUAGCUCAUUACAAUAUCUGCUGAUACAUGUACACAAUACCCAAGAAUAAAAUGAUGCUCUUGCAACCUAUGCUACCACUAUUGCCCAUAAACCCUGGCCACUCUCAGAAGGUCAUAAGCCUGCUCAUUCAUCCAGUAUACCACUACUACAACUGAUGUUUGAGAAAACACCAAGACUGUUUAUAACCUAGGAAGUCAUAUAGAGUCUUCACAUUGAGCACACCCAGAGGCAAAGUCAAAUGGUCCUAGCAAACUUACUUUAUACUCAUACCCUUAAGACAAAAAAUAAAGUCUUGCCCCAAAGUAAGUAAAUUCAAAAACAAGAAGCUACUAUUUCUCCAGUUGUGCUGAAAGCAGAAUAAUAAUAUGGAAAGCAUGAAAAAGCAAGGUAUUAUGACACCACCCCCCUCCAACCCAAGGAACACAGUAAUUCUGUAGCAAUGGAUCCUAACAAAAAAGAAAUCCUCAAACUGCCAGAUUAAAAAACUCAAAAUAGUGAAUUUUUUAAAAGCUUGAAAACCAAUAGAAAGAAAUCAGAUAAUCAAUUCAGGAUAUAAACCAAAGAUUUAUCAAUGAUAUAUAUUAUCUUUAAAAAGAAACUGAAGAGAAGUUCUAGAAAUAAAAAAAAUCAUAUAAGGAAUUACAAAAUACCUUUGGAAACUUCAAGAAUAGACUAGACCAGGCAGAAGAAGGAAUCUAAGAAAGUCAAGAUGAAAAAAAAGAAUUCUAAAAUCAACAAGAGAAAAGUGUCAUCACCUAUAAAAGGAACCCAUCAGACUAACAAUGGACUUCUCAGCAGAAGUCCUACAAGCCAGAAGAGAAUGGGAGGGGAUUUUCAAAUUGCUGAAAGAAGAAAACUGCCAAUCACAAAUUUUAUAUCCAGCAAGAUUAAAUGAAGGAGAAAUAAAGUCUUUCCCAGACAAGCAAAUGAUGAAGAAAUUUGACACCACUAAACCAGCCCUACAAGAAAUUCUCAAAAGAAUCCUAAACAUGGAAACAAAAGGUCUACAUUCACCAUCAUAAAAACAUACAAAAGUAUAAAACUCACUGUCAUAUAAAACAAUUACACAGUGGAGAAAUAGGAAUCAAAUGUCAACAAACCAGAAUUCCAACAAACCACAAAGACAGGCAGAGAAAAAGAUAGAAACAAGUGAUUUAUAAAACAAGUAGAUAACAAUUAACAAUAUGUCAAAAACGGAACUUCACAUAACAAUAUUAACCUUGAACAUAAAUGCAUUAAAUAUUCCACUUAAAAGAUACACAUUGGCAGAAUGGAUAAAAAAGAAACAUGAUCCAACUAUAUGCUGCUUACAAGAAACUCACCUUAUUAGUAAACACAUUUAGACUGAAUUAAAGGGUUGGAAAAAGAUAUUCCAUGCAACAGAAACCAAAAGCAAGUAGGAAUAAUUAUACUUACAUUAACAACGACAACAACGAAACAGACUUUAAAUC
Pan troglodytes (chimpanzee) is the source of this 2853-nucleotide long non-coding RNA. RefSeq lists it as uncharacterized. The record is from RefSeq and is a predicted model, not a curated record. The transcript is spliced from 3 exons. Lineage: Eukaryota; Metazoa; Chordata; Mammalia; Primates; Hominidae.